GAUGAAGAACGUAGCGAAAUGCGAUAAGUAAUGUGAAUUGCAGAAUUCAGUGAAUCAUCGAAUCUUUGAACGCACAUUCCGCCCGCCAGUAUUCUGGCGGGCAUGCCUGUCUGAGCGUCAUUUCAACCCUCAUGCCCCUAGGGCGUGGUGUUGGGGAUCGGCCAAAGCCCGCGAGGGACGGCCGGCCCCUAAAUCUAGUGGCGGACCCGUCGUGGCCUCCUCUGCGAAGUAGUGAUAUUCCGCAUCGGAGAGCGAUGAGCCCCUGCCGUUAAACCCCCAACUUUCCAAGGUUGACCUCAGAUCAGGUAGGAAUACCCGCUGAACUUAAGCAUAUCAAUAGCGGAGGA
RNAcentral lists this unclassified non-coding RNA (347 nucleotides) under soil metagenome. RNAcentral's name for it is "partial contains 5.8S ribosomal RNA, internal transcribed spacer 2, and large subunit ribosomal RNA". The stretch from base 1 to 120 matches the Rfam family "5.8S ribosomal RNA", at positions 35 to 154 of the family's 154-position model. The record is from RNAcentral.